RNAcentral lists this non-coding RNA (136 nucleotides) under Nannocystis exedens. The record is from RNAcentral. Lineage: Bacteria; Pseudomonadati; Myxococcota; Nannocystales; Nannocystaceae.
CAGCGGGUGAGAGUCCCGCCCGGGUAGGCGCCGGAGCGCCCGGUAGCAGGCCCCAGGUGCGAGGAGAGAUCCUCGCGGCCCGAGCGGGGCGUCAAGAGCCUCUACGGAGGGAGCAAGAACGCGGGCCGCAACAUCA